CCGGCCUUGGAGAAGAAGGGGGCCUGGCCCCAGGUGCUGAGGGAUGGGAAAGGAGUGACCUUUCAAUGUAGGAAACUUGGAGUUAUCACAACAGCCCUCAAGGUGGGGAUUCCUCUUCUCCCACACCUGUUUUAUAGAAGAGACAUGUGAGGCUCAGAGAGGGAGAGGAUUUGCCCAGGACCAACUACAAGUGAGUCAGGACUUGAGCCCAGUGCCGUGUUUCCAGAGGCUGAGCUCUUGUCUCUUUCUUGACACUUUGCAUCCUGAUGCUGAGGCACAGAUGGGGUGUGGGCUGUGCCUGGCUCACACAGCGAGGUACGUCUCUAGGGCCAUCUGCUAUGUGAAGGCCAGGAGGAGAAGGCUUGUCUGCCAGCCCCACUCAGCUCACUGCAGUCACAGCUU
Molecule: long non-coding RNA, 402 nt
Filed under: Equus asinus (donkey)
Lineage: Eukaryota; Metazoa; Chordata; Mammalia; Perissodactyla; Equidae
Description: lncRNA (ENSEASG00005036496.1)
Source: RNAcentral